Long non-coding RNA from Panthera uncia (snow leopard), 503 nucleotides. RefSeq lists it as uncharacterized. The record is from RefSeq and is a predicted model, not a curated record. The transcript is spliced from 3 exons. NCBI's taxonomy places the organism in Eukaryota, Metazoa, Chordata, Mammalia, Carnivora, Felidae.
UGCUUUGGAAGUCCCUGUAAGGUGAGAGAAUGAAACAAGCAUCUGUGGUUUCCUCAAGGGCAAGGACCAACUGUAUCGGAAUUAUCUUUGUAUCCCCAGUGCCUUCACCAGCACAUGACUGCCUAAUAAGUACCAAUCCUCAACUCCUGUGACAUACCGUCCAUACCGAAACCACACCAGACCACUCACCACUGGCCCUGAAUUACAGUAAGCACGUCCGUGCUGCUGGGCUGGCCUGGCAGGAUCGUCCCUCAGCACUCUCUCUUGUCAAAUCCUUUGCAGGAAAAAUUUCAGCCAAAGCAUGAAUGCAGCCCCUAUCAAGCCAACACAUGUGAUCUCACAAGAUGACAGAUCUGAGGGAUGGAAGGUGAAGGUGUAACUCCGAGUGGGGAGUGUGUGCAUGCGUGCGUGUGUGAAUACGGACAGAUGUACGUAUCUAAGUGAGGUGUACAACAUGAAGGUGCUAUUUCCGCCACAGUCACCUCAAUAAAGUCAAUCCAAUA